Molecule: ribosomal RNA, 470 nt
Filed under: Fusarium oxysporum
Lineage: Eukaryota; Fungi; Ascomycota; Sordariomycetes; Hypocreales; Nectriaceae
Description: eukaryotic LSU rRNA
Rfam family: 5.8S ribosomal RNA (bases 149-302)
Source: RNAcentral
CCGAGUUUACAACUCCCAAACCCCUGUGAACAUACCACUUGUUGCCUCGGCGGAUCAGCCCGCUCCCGGUAAAACGGGACGGCCCGCCAGAGGACCCCUAAACUCUGUUUCUAUAUGUAACUUCUGAGUAAAACCAUAAAUAAAUCAAAACUUUCAACAACGGAUCUCUUGGUUCUGGCAUCGAUGAAGAACGCAGCAAAAUGCGAUAAGUAAUGUGAAUUGCAGAAUUCAGUGAAUCAUCGAAUCUUUGAACGCACAUUGCGCCCGCCAGUAUUCUGGCGGGCAUGCCUGUUCGAGCGUCAUUUCAACCCUCAAGCCCUCGGGUUUGGUGUUGGGGAUCGGCGAGCCCUUGCGGCAAGCCGGCCCCGAAAUCUAGUGGCGGUCUCGCUGCAGCCUCCAUUGCGUAGUAGUAAAACCCUCGCAACUGGAACGCGGCGCGGCCAAGCCGUUAAACCCCCAACUUCUGAAUG